This 66-nucleotide transfer RNA is filed under the name Pseudotolithus typus (longneck croaker). RNAcentral describes it as "tRNA-Cys". It matches the Rfam family "tRNA". From Rfam's summary of the family: Transfer RNA (tRNA) molecules are approximately 80 nucleotides in length. Their secondary structure includes four short double-helical elements and three loops (D, anti-codon, and T loops). The record is from RNAcentral. Lineage: Eukaryota; Metazoa; Chordata; Actinopteri; Sciaenidae.
AGCUCUGAGGUGUUUUACACAUCAGAUUGCAAAUCUGAAGAAGUAGGUUAGCGCCUACCGGGGCUU